Molecule: ribosomal RNA, 800 nt
Filed under: Brevibacillus borstelensis
Lineage: Bacteria; Bacillati; Bacillota; Bacilli; Caryophanales; Paenibacillaceae
Description: bacterial SSU rRNA
Rfam family: Bacterial small subunit ribosomal RNA
Source: RNAcentral
GUGGGAGUAACAUCCGUAGGCAACCUCGCCCGUAAGCUCGGGAUAACAUAGGGGAAACUCAUGCUAAUACCGGAUAGGGUUUUCUUUCGCAUGAGAGGAAACGGAAAGAUGGCGCAAGCUACCACUUACAGAUGGGCCUGCGGCGCAUUAGCUAGUUGGUGGGGUAACGGCCUACCAAGGCGACGAUGCGUAGCCGACCUGAGAGGGUGACCGGCCACACUGGGACUGAGACACGGCCCAGACUCCUACGGGAGGCAGCAGUAGGGAAUUUUCCACAAUGGACGAAAGUCUGAUGGAGCAACGCCGCGUGAACGAUGAAGGUUUUCGGAUUGUAAAGUUCUGUUGUCAGAGAAGAACAAGUGCCGUUUAAAUAGGGCGGUACCUUGACGGUACCUGACGAGAAAGCCACGGCUAACUACGUGCCAGCAGCCGCGGUAAUACGUAGGUGGCAAGCGUUGUCCGGAAUUAUUGGGCGUAAAGCGCGCGCAGGCGGCUAUGUAAGUCUGAUGUUAAAGCCCGGGGCUCAACCCCGGUUCGCAUCGGAAACUGUGUAGCUUGAGUGCAGGAGAGGAAAGUGGUAUUCCACGUGUAGCGGUGAAAUGCGUAGAGAUGUGGAGGAACACCAGUGGCGAAGGCGGCUUUCUGGUCUGUAACUGACACUGAGGCGCGAAUGCGUGGGGAGCACACAGGAUUAGAUACCCUGGUAGUUCCACGCCGUAAACAAUGAGUGCUACGGUGUUGGGGGUUUCCACUACCCUUAGUUGCCGCAGCUAACGCAUAGGACAUCAGCACUGGGUAGU